CCCAGUAAACGGCGGCCGUAACUAUAACGGUCCUAAGGUAGCGAAAUUCCUUGUCGGGUAAGUUCCGACCUGCACGAAUGGCAUAACGAUGGCCACACUGUCUCCUCCCGAGACUCAGUGAAGUUGAAAUGUUUGUGAUGAUGCAAUCUACCCGCGGCUAGACGGAAAGACCCCAUGAACCUUUACUGCAGCUUUGCAUUGAACUGUGAACCGAUUUGUGUAGGAUAGGUGGGAGGCAGAGAAGAGGCCACGCCAGUGGUCUUGGAGCCGACCUUGAAAUACCACCCUGAUUUGUUUGCGGUUCUAACCACGGACAGUGAUCCUGUCUUGGGACCGUGCAUGGUAGGCAGUUUGACUGGGGCGGUCUCCUCCUAAAGGGUAACGGAGGAGUACGAAGGUACGCUAGGUACGGUCGGAAAUCGUGCUGAUAGUGCAAUGGCAAAAGCGUGCUUGACUGCGAGAGCAACAACUCGAGCAGAUGCGAAAGCAGGUCAUAGUGAUCCGGUGGCUCUGAAUGGAAGGGCCAUCGCUCAACGGAUAAAAGGUACUCUGGGGAUAACAGGCUGAUACCGCCCAAGAGUUCAUAUCGACGGCGGUGUUUGGCACCUCGAUGUCGGCUCAUCUCAUCCUGGGGCUGUAGUCGGUCCCAAGGGUAUGGCUGUUCGCCAUUUAAAGAGGUACGUGAGCUGGGUUUAAAACGUCGUGAGACAGUUUGGUCCCUAUCUGCCGUGGGCGUUGGAAGAUUGACGGGGGCUGCUCCUAGUACGAGAGGACCGGAGUGGACGCACCUCUGGUGUACCGGUUGUCACGCCAGUGGCAUUGCCGGGUAGCUAAGUGCGGAAGAGAUAACCGCUGAAAGCAUCUAAGCGGGAAACUUGCCUGAAGAUGAGUCUUCCCGGAGGUUGAACCUCCCUCAAGAGUCGUCCGAGACCAGGACGUCGAUAGGUCAGGUGUGUAAGCGCUGUAAGGCGUUGAGCUAACUGAUACUAAUUGCUCGUGAGGCUUGAUCCU
This 1011-nucleotide ribosomal RNA is filed under the name human metagenome. RNAcentral's name for it is "bacterial LSU rRNA". It matches the Rfam family "Bacterial large subunit ribosomal RNA", at positions 1919 to 2925 of the family's 2925-position model. The record is from RNAcentral.